CCUACGGGAGACAGCAGUGAGGAAUAUUGGUCAAUGGACGGAAGUCUGAACCAGCCAAGCCGCGUGAAGGAAGAAGGUUCUAAGAAUUGUAAACUUCUUUUGUAAAGGGACAAACUCAGGUACGAGAGUCUAACCGAGGGUACUUUACGAAAAAGCAUCGGCUAACUCCGUGCCAGCAGCCGCGGUAAUACGGAGGGUGCGUGCGUUAUCCGGAUUUAUUGGGGUUAAAGGGUGCGUAGGCGGGGUGAUAGGUCAGCGGUUAAAGGCCCGGGCUGAACCCCCGACGUGCCUUUGAAACGGUCUGUCUUGAGAGGAGGAGAGGUAAGCGGAAGUCGCUGUGUAGCGGUGAAAUGCUUAGAUAUUACGAAGAACACCGAUUGCGAAGGCAGCUUACCGGCGGCUAUCUGACGCUGAGGCACGAAAGCGUGGGUAUCGAACAGGAUUAGAUACCCGAGUAGUC
RNAcentral lists this ribosomal RNA (460 nucleotides) under uncultured bacterium. RNAcentral's name for it is "partial 16S ribosomal RNA". It matches the Rfam family "Bacterial small subunit ribosomal RNA", at positions 338 to 795 of the family's 1533-position model. The record is from RNAcentral.